This 466-nucleotide ribosomal RNA is filed under the name uncultured bacterium. Its description in RNAcentral is "partial 16S ribosomal RNA". It matches the Rfam family "Bacterial small subunit ribosomal RNA", at positions 29 to 507 of the family's 1533-position model. The record is from RNAcentral.
AUGAACGCUGGCGGCGUGCUUAACACAUGCAAGUCGAACGGAAAGGCCCAAGCUUGCUUGGGUACUCGAGUGGCGAACGGGUGAGUAACACGUGGGUGAUCUGCCCUGCACUUCGGGAUAAGCCUGGGAAACUGGGUCUAAUACCGGAUAGGACGAUGGUUUGGAUGCCAUUGUGGAAAGUUUUUUCGGUGUGGGAUGAGCUCGCGGCCUAUCAGCUUGUUGGUGGGGUAAUGGCCUACCAAGGCGUCGACGGGUAGCCGGCCUGAGAGGGUGUACGGCCACAUUGGGACUGAGAUACGGCCCAGACUCCUACGGGAGGCAGCAGUGGGGAAUAUUGCACAAUGGGCGCAAGCCUGAUGCAGCGACGCCGCGUGGGGGAUGACGGCCUUCGGGUUGCAAACUCCUUUCGCUAGGGACGAAGCGUUUUGUGACGGUACCUGGAGAAGAAGCACCGGCUAACUACGUG